GCAUGUAUGUGUGUGUGUGUGUGUGUGUGUAUAUAUAUAUAUAUUUAUAUAUAUAUAUAUAUAUAUAUAUAUAUAUAUAUAUAUAUACAUACAUACACACGCGUGCACACACACUCACACAGUG
This is a non-coding RNA of Pelobates cultripes (western spadefoot toad), 124 nucleotides long. The record is from the annotation of a GenBank genome assembly. NCBI's taxonomy places the organism in Eukaryota, Metazoa, Chordata, Amphibia, Anura, Pelobatidae.